GGGGCUUUGGCGCAGUUGGUAGCGCGUUUCCAUGGCAUGGAAAAGGUCAGGGGUUCGAAUCCCCUAAGCUCCACCA
This 76-nucleotide transfer RNA is filed under the name Glycomyces endophyticus. RNAcentral describes it as "tRNA-Ala". It matches the Rfam family "tRNA". From Rfam's summary of the family: Transfer RNA (tRNA) molecules are approximately 80 nucleotides in length. Their secondary structure includes four short double-helical elements and three loops (D, anti-codon, and T loops). Further hydrogen bonds mediate the characteristic L-shaped molecular structure. tRNAs have two regions of fundamental functional importance: the anti-codon, which is responsible for specific mRNA codon recognition, and the 3' end, to which the tRNAs corresponding amino acid is attached (by aminoacyl-tRNA synthetases). tRNAs cope with the degeneracy of the genetic code in two manners: having more than one tRNA (with a specific anti-codon) for a particular amino acid; and 'wobble' base-pairing, i.e. permitting non-standard base-pairing at the 3rd anti-codon position. Lineage: Bacteria; Bacillati; Actinomycetota; Actinomycetes; Glycomycetales; Glycomycetaceae. The record is from RNAcentral. RNAcentral also lists the same sequence under 14 other names.